GUAGUCCAUGCCGUAAACGAUGAGUGUUCGCCCUUGAGGCGUGGCUUCCGGAGCUAACGCGUUAAGUCGACCGCCUGGGGAGUACGGCCGCAAGGUUAAAACUCAAAUGAAUUGACGGGGGCCCGCACAAGCGGUGGAGCAUGUGGUUUAAUUCGAUGCAACGCGAAGAACCUUACCUGGUCUUGACAUCCACGGAAGUUUUCAGAGAUGAGAAUGUGCCUUCGGGAACCGUGAGACAGGUGCUGCAUGGCUGUCGUCAGCUCGUGUUGUGAAAUGUUGGGUUAAGUCCCGCAACGAGCGCAACCCUUAUCCUUUGUUGCCAGCGGUCCGGCCGGGAACUCAAAGGAGACUGCCAGUGAUAAACUGGA
This 368-nucleotide ribosomal RNA is filed under the name uncultured bacterium. RNAcentral's name for it is "bacterial SSU rRNA". It matches the Rfam family "Bacterial small subunit ribosomal RNA", at positions 790 to 1167 of the family's 1533-position model. The record is from RNAcentral.